This 523-nucleotide ribosomal RNA is filed under the name uncultured eubacterium WR1105. RNAcentral's name for it is "bacterial SSU rRNA". It matches the Rfam family "Bacterial small subunit ribosomal RNA", at positions 9 to 527 of the family's 1533-position model. The record is from RNAcentral.
GAGUUUGAUCAUGGCUCAGAUUGAACGCUGGCGGCAUGCCUUACACAUGCAAGUCGAACGGCAGCACGGGAGCAAUCCUGGUGGCGAGUGGCGAACGGGUGAGUAAUAUAUCGGAACGUGCCCAGUAAUGGGGGAUAGCCCGGCGAAAGCCGGAUUAAUACCGCAUACGACCUACGGGUGAAAGCGGGGGAUCGCAAGACCUCGCGUUAUUGGAGCGGCCGAUAUCAGAUUAGCUAGUUGGUGGGGUAAGAGCCCACCAAGGCGACGAUCUGUAGCUGGUCUGAGAGGACGACCAGCCACACUGGGACUGAGACACGGCCCAGACUCCUACGGGAGGCAGCAGUGGGGAAUUUUGGACAAUGGGCGCAAACCUGAUCCAGCCAUGCCGCGUGUGGGAAGAAGGCCUUCGGGUUGUAAACCACUUUUGUCAGGGAAGAAACGGCUCUUACUAAUAUUAGGGGCUAAUGACGGUACCUGAAGAAUAAGCACCGGCUAACUACGUACCAGCAGCCGCGGUAAUACG